UGCUCACUGCUGCCACUGUUCUUCAUCACACCACCCUCGCCCUCCUCAUCCUCAGCUCCGCGAGAGCGCCGCUUAGGCAGGUUGAUCCUGCAGGUAGGACGUCCAGGCUGUUGAAGAUGUGGAUAUCACAUCGCCAUCUGUACUGGGACAAAUCCACUCCUAGCCAAGCGUGACAGAUCAGUAGCUGACAAGGCUGAAUGUGACACCUGAUCUUCACCUGCCGCACAGCGAAAGCAGCACAUCAGCAGCUGCAGUCAUUUAUCUGUCUACAGUGAACCUGUUCAACCAUGGGACUUCUGUAAGCUAAGAAGUGUUCUGACAAAGCUCAAUGCACCAUCAUGCAUCUAAGAAACAAGUGAAGUGUAUUGUAUUGUGCACAUAAAGGCAACACUGGUUUGAGAAAGGGACAGGUCUGAUCUUAAACAUCUUAAAAAAGAUUUUCAUCACACAUCCCACAACACAUUAAAAUCCCAGGUAAAGCAAACCCAAAACACAAAGUCCUCAAAAGACCUGGUCACGAGACUAACUGAUUAAGAUCAACCUCAACUGCACUGAUACAGAUCCGCCUCAGACCAGCACUGCUUCAACCCCCCACCCCCCAGAGUAAAGCAAAUUAUUAAACAAACAAGAGAUUUCUAUCUGGAACACUGAGCAAAUAAGAUCCAAAAAUAGACUAACAUCUUCUCCUCUUUUUUUAAUUUAUUUUUUUAUAAAUAGGGCCUGAAACUGUGAAUACGUACUGGAAAGCCAGAUAGAGGAGGGCAAAGCUGUUGACUGAACACGAGCAGAUACAAUAGGAAAUUAUAACUUAGGGUAAUUCAAUAAUCAUGGCUCCUUAAUGCAAUGACCAAUGACUAGAUUGUACCAAACAGUGAAGGUCUCGUUACGUGCUGAUGUCAGACUUGGAAAUAAACACCUGUGUUUUUCAAUG
This is a long non-coding RNA of Dicentrarchus labrax (European seabass), 931 nucleotides long. RefSeq lists it as uncharacterized. NCBI's taxonomy places the organism in Eukaryota, Metazoa, Chordata, Actinopteri, Moronidae. The record is from RefSeq and is a predicted model, not a curated record. The transcript is spliced from 2 exons.